Molecule: small RNA, 624 nt
Filed under: Pongo abelii (Sumatran orangutan)
Lineage: Eukaryota; Metazoa; Chordata; Mammalia; Primates; Hominidae
Description: retained intron
Source: RNAcentral
CAUUGUACUCAGCCUAGGCAACAAGAGCGAAACUCUGUCUCAAAAAAAAAAAAAAAGAAUCUACUUUUUUCAAAGUUGCCUAAUACAUAUUUAGUAUUUGUUGGAGAAUAUACUGUGCUUUAAUUUAUAUCAUUUUUACUCAUUUUCCAGUUCAAGCUAAAGCUAUAUUUUAAUGAGUUUUUUGUUUUUUCUUGACCACCCCCACCUCUUAAUUCUGAUUAUAGGUUAUCCAGUGAAUCUAGCAGCCAAUGGGCAUUAGUGGUACAGUUCUGCAGGCUACACAAUAUGAAACUAAGCAUAUCUUACCUUAGAGAAUGUGCCAAAGCAAAUGAUUGGCUGCAGUUCAUUAUUCACAGCCAGCUCCACAACUACCACCCAGCAGAGGUGAAAUCCCUUAUCCAGUACUUCAGCCCAGUCGUUCAAGACCACUUAAGGCUGGCUUUUGAGAACUUGCCCUCAGUGCCUACCUCCAAAAUGGACAGCGAUCAAGUCUGCAAUAAGUCCCCCCAGGAACUUCAAGGAAGCAAAGAAGAGAUGACCGAUUUAUUUGAAAUUCUGCUCCAAUGCUCAGAGGAGCCAGACUCCUGGCACUGGCUUCUGGUUGAAGCAGUGAAACAACAGGCC